RNAcentral lists this small nuclear RNA (23 nucleotides) under Arabidopsis thaliana (thale cress). Its description in RNAcentral is "snRNA_02208". The record is from RNAcentral. Lineage: Eukaryota; Viridiplantae; Streptophyta; Magnoliopsida; Brassicales; Brassicaceae.
UCCUCUUUGGGCUUAUAUGCUCA